This 460-nucleotide ribosomal RNA is filed under the name uncultured Cellulomonas sp. RNAcentral's name for it is "bacterial SSU rRNA". It matches the Rfam family "Bacterial small subunit ribosomal RNA", at positions 920 to 1382 of the family's 1533-position model. The record is from RNAcentral. Lineage: Bacteria; Bacillati; Actinomycetota; Actinomycetes; Micrococcales; Cellulomonadaceae.
CCCGCACAAGCGGCGGAGCAUGCGGAUUAAUCGAUGCAACGCGAAGAACCUUACCAAGGCUUGACAUACACCGGUAACGCCCAGAGAUGGGUGCCCCUUUGUGGUCGGUGGACAGGUGGUGCAUGGUUGUCGUCAGCUCGUGUCGUGAGAUGUUGGGUUAAGUCCCGCAACGAGCGCAACCCUCGUCCUAUGUUGCCAGCGGGUCAUGCCGGGGACUCAUGGGAGACUGCCGGGGUCAACUCGGAGGAAGGUGGGAUGACGUCAAAUCAUCAUGCCCCUUAUGUCUUGGGCUUCACGCAUGCUACAAUGGCCGGUACAAAGGGCUGCGAUACCGCGAGGUGGAGCGAAUCCCAGAAAGCCGGUCUCAGUUCGGAUUGGGGUCUGCAACUCGACCCCAUGAAGUCGGAGUCGCUAGUAAUCGCAGAUCAGCAACGCUGCGGUGAAUACGUUCCCGGGCCUU